AAGCAACUAGUUUGCUUGGUCAUGAGCUUAUAAACUGGAUAUUAGGAUUCUCUAGCUGGGUUAGUGCGCAGAAAUGUUAUGUAAGGGAGUUGAAUAAAUGGCUCAUGAAGUGUCUUCUCUAUGAACCUGAGGAAACAGCCGAUGGUAUCGCUCCUUUUUCGCCUGGUCGGCUUGGUGCUCCACCGAUCUUUGUGAUCUGUAACCAAUGGUCUCAAGCUUUGGACAGGAUCUCCGAGAAGGAAGUGAUUGAGGCAAUGCGUAGCUUCACCACGAGUGUGCUUCAGCUUUGGGAACAAGAUCGGUUAGAAACGACGGUGAUGGGGCAGGAGAAAGUUAGGAGCAUGGACCGGGAAGAGCAGAGGAUACACAGGGAGAUUCAAGCGCUGGAAAAGAAAAUGGUUCUGGUUGCACCUGGUGAUGGUCUUUUGGUAUCUGGGAACGUUGUUUACCAGAGUGAUACUAGUAGCGAUAGUUUACAAGGUAGUUUGCAGAGGAUUUUUGAAGCUAUGGAGAGGUUCACUGAUGAGUGUAUGAGAGCUUAUGAUGAUCUCUUGGUGCGUGCUGAAGAAGUAACUGCUCCGAGAGAAAGUGAGGAAUGAUAAACAAAACUAGAGGAAGAUCUUUGCUUGAUCUUGCAAUGGUGGAACCAACCAGAAUCAUCUGCGUCUCAUUCUGAGCCUCAUGCAUGAAGAGCCCCACAAGUGGAUGAUGAUCUAAGAGGAGGCAUAAUCCUUGUAAAAAGACGGCCAGUUCUAUGGUUAAGAGAUACGGUUUAGUGCAAAUUGACUUUGAACCGGAUGGUUAACAUAAACCAUAUAUGAGGCAGGUAGCAUAUAUUAGUUAAGUUCUAAUAAUUUUUAUAUUCAGGCAAUGUACAUUAGGCGUUUAGGACUAAACUUUUGACGAUUCUCAGCAAUUAUUUUUGUAGAAUCCGAGGGUAGCUCAGGGAAGUCUCUCUUUCUUUUGAAGUACUAAAGAUGUGACCUUUUGGUUGCAGAAACUAGAUUACCCUAAGCAGCAUUGAGCUUCUCACUAAUCCAGGUUAUUAGUACUAGUAUUUAACAUGUGACCUUUUGUUUUGUCGCAUUAUUCUCCCUGUAUAUGUAUUUUGCUCACAUGAUAAAUUUUGUAUAAAAAAAAGAAGAAAGUUAUCAUGAAGUGGGAAAAAUGGGUGAAUGAUUUACGUUUUCUCGUUGUAAGAAAUUUUUUGUUUGAUAAUAUGCAAAUUAUGCAUGCCUGUAAAAGUUACUAGGCAUAAGAAUAAAGACAUAAUCAUUUUAUGAGAAGUUACAAACUAUUUCCAAUCAUUUACCUGACCAGCUUUAAACAUUAAUGAUUCAUGUGAGUAAACUAUACUCCCUCCGUUUCAUAAUACUUGAUCUUUUGUAAUAAUGCACAAAGAUUAAGAAAAUUACAUUUCUCUAGAAAAAUAUUUUAAAGAUAUAAUUUUAAAUUCAGUUAACCAAUUAUAAAAAAAACUGUAAAAUCUAAUUGGUUGAACAGUUUCCAAUAAAGUUAAAGUUAACCAUAAAAUCUCAAAACUUCCUUAAAAUCUCAAAACUUCAUGUAAAUUGAAACAAAACAAACCUUCUAAAACAUCAUCUAUAUUGAAACGGAGGGAGUAUAAUAAACCCACCCAAUGGUCCAUUCUUUUUUUCAGUUAGUCCCUGCGCCAAUAGUUAACGACUUUGUGUUGCUGUGCCAAACAUGAUUAGCGUGAACUUGACGUCUCGUGUGUCAAUCUAUAUGUCCUGUUUGUUUGUUGCAAAAGUAAUAAAUUGAAAAAAUUAUGUACCAUGAAGAGAAUAAGAGUGCCAUUAGUUAUUGUUGUGACCCAACCAGAACCAUGUAUUUAUUACAAAUUAGAGAUAGUGCUUGAGCAUCUAAUCAUAUAAGAAAUGCAAUUACAUAGGAGAAUCUUUGGAUAACUUCACUCUCUUCCUUUUCUACACAAAAGAGACAGCUCUUGUGUCCUCGAAAGCCUGAUUCUCUGUUUCAUUCUCCAAAGCUAAUAAUAGGAAACAAACAUUGCAAGAACUUUUCAUUGGCAUACAUCCACGUUGAGAAUAUACAAACUACUUUUCUCGCCGUUGAUCCAUUUUCUUGACCAUGAAUUUUAGUCUAGCGGUCUAUAUCAUAAAGCACUGUAUAACCAUAUCUAACUCAAAUGUGGUAAUCUGCAAUAUGCGUUUUAACUGUAAACAAAUCACAAUUUAAAUAAAAUUUUAACACUUAGCCAUAUUAGUUUAUGUGGCUUCCAAAAAUAGAUGGUAACACAUUCAGAGUGAAGAACUUUUUUUUGGUUUCAGAGUUUCAAAAGUUAACUUCUUAAAAUGUAAAUAUGUCACAGUCUGUUCAAACCCUUUAAAGAAAAUUGAUUUUCACAUUACUCUAAUUAGAAGGCACGUCAAUAAUCCAGAAAUGUCACACGGUUUCAUAGGUCAGCUACAUAAAAAAAGAAUCUUAAAUGAAAAAUGAAUAAAAAGCGAGAAAGAAAGUAGGAAUGGUUGAUGAUAAGGCACUCCAAUCACAAAACACAUUGAGCUGGCGAUAAUGAUAUUUUCCCAAAAAUCUUACAGUAUUUGGUACCACAAAGUGUUUAUCAUUAUCAAUAACAUAGGAAUCAAUUUAUAUUGUAAUAUAGUAUAGUAUAUACAGAAAAGAAGUUGACUUGUGCUGUUUUUUUUUUUUUGCCUUUUCAAUUUUCAAAUCCAUUGGUUAAACAUUUAGAAACUCAUAAAUCCUACUAAAACAUAAAGAGAUGCAUACUUCAGAGUUGACCUUAUAAAAUCUUUGUUUUAUAGACCUUAUAAAUUCUAAAAUCUUAUUUUUACCGCUGAUAUAUUAAAUUUAUAAUUAUAAAGUUUUCCCAACUUUUUAUUUUAUUUUGUAGUGGUACCAUAUUGACAAGUAGGAGACAAUGUCUCAGAAACUUACCACAGGAGUCAAAAAGACAAACUUAAAAAAAGAGAACAAUUUUUAUUUUAUUUCCAUUAAUAUCUUCUCUUCUCUCUCUCUCUCUCUAUUACAAGAAGCAAAAGAUAAACACUUUCCGACAAGCCAGAGAAAAAGAUUGGAACCUUCAUUUCAUGGGUUGUUGUCAAUCCUUGUGUCCGGAUGAACAAAACCCACUUCGGAAAGAUGGAGCUCAGCCGCCACAACCGGCUCAAACCCACCGCGGCGGCGCUACGACGGCUGCUGGACUCGAUAACGGCGGAGAUGGAGGAGUAAUCCCGUCUUUCUCAGAGUUCUCUUUGGCCGACCUAAAAGCAGCCACGAACAACUUCAGCUCAGACAACAUCGUAUCAGAAAGCGGAGAGAAAGCCCCGAAUCUUGUAUACAAAGGCAGACUUCAGAACCGUCGCUGGAUCGCCGUCAAGAAGUUUACUAAGAUGGCUUGGCCUCAUCCUAAACAAUUCGCGGUACCAAAAAGAAAGACCCUUUGUAAGGCUAACGGGCUUUGGUCUUUUUAAUUUAAUUCAAUUCGGGAAAAAAAGAAAAAUACAAAAAGUCUAGUCAAUGAGAGAAGAACAAACCAUGACGACGUGAGCAUCACACCUGAAGCCUGAAGAUCUGUUUUGGUAACAACAUCCAUUCAGUUACGUCUUUAGUUUGAACACCCAAACUAACUACACACUAGACUUUUUAAAAAGAAUAAUUUAUAUUUUUUGUCAAAAAAAAAAAGAAUAAUUUAUUUUCCCCUAAACCAUAAUAAAUAUUAAAUCUUGACUUUCCAUACACCUAAUUCAUUUAUUAGAAAAAGAAGUCGUGUACAUUCCUCGUUUAUUUUCUGACGUUACCCGUUACCAUCAUGUAAUAAUGAGUGUCCAAAUCAAAUACUGUCGUUACGUAAUUAGAGACUAAAGGUAACGGUAUUCUGGAGAAUAUAACAAAAUGGUCAAAACGGGUCAAAGUUACCAUCAAACACAAAGCCAAAGUUAGAGUAGUACUAUACUUAAAAGACCAGAACUAACCGUAUCUUUGUUUUAAGAUCCAUGUCUUGUGUCUGAACCUCUCAAAGUACUAUCCGAGAUAAGGUUUUCACUUUUUUUUUUCUUCCGGAUUUGGGUAAAUUAAUUUGGUGAGAUUAAUAGUAAUUAAUUAGAUGAUAAAGAAGAAAACACCGACUGAUCCUGUGGAGAGAAACAGACGAAAAUCUCGGUGCUGGCAAAGAUUCCUUCACAGUCCUUUUGCUGUUUGUUUUCCCUUCUUCUUCUUCUUCAUUUUUGAACUAAAUCAUUCAUUUUGAUCUCUCUUUCUCUCCUAAAUUUGAAAUAAUACUCUCUCGAGAAAACAACCACUUCACUCUUUCUUUCUAUCACUAUCAACACACACCUUCUUUGCACCUUACUCGCCUCCCCUUCUUCCUCUCACCUACCUUUCAUCUCUCUCUAUCUCUCCCUAUUAUUUUCUCAAAUCUUGUCUUUCUUUUUAAUUUAAUUUUUUGUUGGUAAAUUAACUAGUGAUGGGUUGUACAAGUUCUAAGCUGGACGAUCUUCCGGCGGUUGCUCUCUGCCGUGAACGGUGCAAUUUCCUAGAAGCGGCGAUUCAGCAACGUUACCAUUUAGCCGAAUCACACGUGGCGUACACACACUCGCUUAAAGGAAUAGGUCACUCACUCCAUCUCUUCAUCAACCACCACCACCGUUUCGUCGCUUCUCCCAGACUCAACCUUCCUCCUCAAAGAAAAGGCGACCCCGAAGAACAAGAAAACAAAGGAGUAGAAAAUUCCCCUAAGAAAGCAAAGCUACCUUCUCCUCACCAUCCGGGUUCGGGUACUGAUUCGGGUCAUCUCGAGUUCGAUUCGGACUCCGAAGACGAUGAUGAAGAAUUCCAUUUGGAUUCGGACCACCACCACCAUCUCGGAAAUUUUGAAACCGGGCCUUACAUGGGAGCACAACCGGGUUAUACCCGGUACCCGAACCCGGAAAUGAUGGGUCAUCAUCUUCCUCCUACUCCUUAUAUGCACAUGAACUACAUGAAGAACAGUUCGAUGCCUCCUUCAGUCAUCUACGAGCAAAGACCAAGUAGCCCUCAAAAAGUCUACAUAGGCGAAUCAUCAUCUUCUUCUACUUACCCUUACAAUUCCGGACCCGGACCCGGACCCGGAUACUACGGUUCUUCAACUGAUGCUCCAGCCUCUAAACCGCCUCCGCCUCCGCCUCCUCCGUCCCCGCCUAGGUCCAACGGGUGGGAUUUUUUAAACCCGUUUGAUACUUACUAUCCUUCGUAUACUCCGAGUCGAGACUCGAGGGAGCUUAGAGAGGAAGAAGGUAUACCCGAGCUGGAGGAAGACGACGAUUCACAGUACGAGGCUGUUAAGGAAGUUCACGGUGGUGAUAAUCAACCGACUCCUGCUGUUGUUUACAGGGAAGAGUCUGAUUCUCCGUCUCCGUCUCCGCGGCUGUCUGUUGAUAAAUCUGGAGCCAGCACUAGUGGUGGAGGUGCGGCUAUGUAUCAGACUAGGCCGAGCGUGUCGGUGGAGAAGAAAGGGGUUGAGUACGAAGUGCACGUUGUCGAGAAGACGGUUGUUGAAGAUGGCGGAAACGAGAGCAAUGCCACGGCGACACGUGGAGGAGGAGGAGGAGGUGGGCCACGUGCGGUGCCUGAGGUUGCUAAAGAGAUUGAGAAUCAGUUCCUGAAAGCUGCGGAGUCAGGAAGUGAGAUCGCUAAGUUACUUGAAGUUGGGAAGCGUCCUUACGGUCGGAAACAUGGUAAUAAAACUUUUCAGUUUUGUCCGAAUGAUCUUGUGAUCUUUCAAUAAUUAAGUAAAAAAUGAAACUUUUUGUUUGGACCAGCUUCUUCGCAGUUGUUGCACGGGGUUACUCCUUCUGUUGCUGAGCCGCCAACGUAUGCAGACAUUGAAGAAGAGCUUGCUUCGAGGUCAAGGAACCUUUCUUCCACAUUGCACAAACUCCAUCUCUGGGAGAAGAAGCUUUACCGAGAAGUGAAGGUAACGUUAAUCUCUUAUAACACUCCGAUGUGUUUCAGCUCCUUUGUCUGAAUAAAGCUUCUACUCUUGUCUAGGCUGAGGAAAAAUUGCGUGUAGCUCACGAGAAGAAGGUAAGGAAGCUAAAGCGUUUGGAUGAAAGAGGUGCUGAAGCUAACAAAGUGGAUACAACAAGGAAGCUAGUAAGAGACAUGAACACAAAGAUACGGAUUGCGAUUCAGGUUGUGGAUAAAAUCUCUGUGACUAUUAAUAAGAUUAGAGAUGAAGAUCUAUGGCCGCAACUCAAUGCAUUGAUCCAAGGGUAAUAAUAACCUUGCCCCUACAUGUUUUUAGAUAUUUGCGUUUGGAGAUGUUGAUUCUGUGUUUGGUUUGCUUCUCAGGCUUACAAGGAUGUGGAAAGAGAUGCUAGAGUGUCAUCAGAUUCAGUGCCAGGCUAUAAAGGAAGCUAGAGGGCUAGGGUCUAUAAGAGCUAGCAAGAAGCUAGGCGAUGAGCAUCUUGAAGCAACUAGUUUGCUUGGUCAUGAGCUUAUAAACUGGAUAUUAGGAUUCUCUAGCUGGGUUAGUGCGCAGAAAUGUUAUGUAAGGGAGUUGAAUAAAUGGCUCAUGAAGUGUCUUCUCUAUGAACCUGAGGAAACAGCCGAUGGUAUCGCUCCUUUUUCGCCUGGUCGGCUUGGUGCUCCACCGAUCUUUGUGAUCUGUAACCAAUGGUCUCAAGCUUUGGACAGGAUCUCCGAGAAGGAAGUGAUUGAGGCAAUGCGUAGCUUCACC
Molecule: long non-coding RNA, 6718 nt
Filed under: Brassica napus (rape)
Lineage: Eukaryota; Viridiplantae; Streptophyta; Magnoliopsida; Brassicales; Brassicaceae
Description: long non-coding RNA (BNAP_LNC026059)
Source: RNAcentral